Molecule: non-coding RNA, 140 nt
Organism: Chelonoidis abingdonii (Abingdon island giant tortoise)
Lineage: Eukaryota; Metazoa; Chordata; Testudines; Testudinidae
Source: RefSeq, a predicted model, not a curated record
AGGAGUAAUGGUCUCAAGUUUUGCAGUGGGGGGUUUGGUUGGAUAUUAGGAAACUUUUUCACUUCAGAGAGUGGUUAAGCACCGGAAUGGUUACCUAGGAGGGGUGGAAUCUUCUUCCUUAGAGGUUUUUCAAGGCCUUG